Molecule: ribosomal RNA, 253 nt
Filed under: uncultured bacterium
Lineage: Bacteria
Description: partial 16S ribosomal RNA
Rfam family: Bacterial small subunit ribosomal RNA
Source: RNAcentral
UACGUAGGGCGCAAGCGUUAUCCGGAAUUAUUGGGCGUAAAGAGCUUGUAGGCGGUUUGUCGCGUCUGCUGUGAAAAUCCGGGGCUCAACCCCGGACUUGCAGUGGGUACGGGCAGACUAGAGUGUGGUAGGGGAGACUGGAAUUCCUGGUGUAGCGGUGAAAUGCGCAGAUAUCAGGAGGAACACCGAUGGCGAAGGCAGGUCUCUGGGCCGAUACUGACGCUGAGGAGCGAAAGCGUGGGGAGCGAACAGG